RNAcentral lists this ribosomal RNA (292 nucleotides) under uncultured bacterium. RNAcentral's name for it is "partial 16S ribosomal RNA". It matches the Rfam family "Bacterial small subunit ribosomal RNA", at positions 505 to 796 of the family's 1533-position model. The record is from RNAcentral.
GUGCCAGCAGCCGCGGUAAUACGAAGGGGGCUAGCGUUGUUCGGAAUCACUGGGCGUAAAGCGCACGUAGGCGGAUCUUUAAGUCAGGGGUGAAAUCCCGAGGCUCAACCUCGGAACUGCCUUUGAUACUGGAGGUCUCGAGUCCGGGAGAGGUGAGUGGAACUGCGAGUGUAGAGGUGAAAUUCGUAGAUAUUCGCAAGAACACCAGUGGCGAAGGCGGCUCACUGGCCCGGAACUGACGCUGAGGUGCGAAAGCGUGGGGAGCAAACAGGAUUAGAUACCCCUGUAGUCC